RNAcentral lists this ribosomal RNA (350 nucleotides) under uncultured bacterium. RNAcentral's name for it is "bacterial SSU rRNA". It matches the Rfam family "Bacterial small subunit ribosomal RNA", at positions 22 to 356 of the family's 1533-position model. The record is from RNAcentral.
GCUCAGGAUGAACGCUGGCGGCGUGCCUAACACAUGCAAGUCGAACGAAGCAAUUAAAGGAAGUUUUCGGACGGAAUUUGAUUGACUGAGUGGCGGACGGGUGAGUAACGCGUGGAUAACCUGCCUCACACUGGGGGAUAACAGUUAGAAAUGACUGCUAAUACCGCAUAAGCGCACAGUACCGCAUGGUACGGUGUGAAAAACUCCGGUGGUGUGAGAUGGAUCCGCGUCUGAUUAGCCAGUUGGCGGGGUAACGGCCCACCAAAGCGACGAUCAGUAGCCGACCUGAGAGGGUGACCGGCCACAUUGGGACUGAGACACGGCCCAAACUCCUACGGGAGGCAGCAGUA